This 372-nucleotide ribosomal RNA is filed under the name uncultured organism. RNAcentral describes it as "bacterial SSU rRNA". It matches the Rfam family "Bacterial small subunit ribosomal RNA", at positions 526 to 896 of the family's 1533-position model. The record is from RNAcentral.
CAGAGGGUGCGAGCGUUAAUCGGAUUUACUGGGCGUAAAGCGUGUGUAGGUGGCUUCCUAAGUCGGUUGUGAAAUCCCUGGGCUCAACCUGGGAAUUGCAGUCGAUACUGGGAAGCUCGAGUUCGGUAGAGGACGGCGGAAUUCCCGGUGUAGCGGUGAAAGUGCGUAGAUAUCGGGAGGAACAUCGAUGGCGAAAGCAACCGUCUGGGCCUGAACUGACACUGAGACACGAAAGCGUGGGGAGCAAACAGGAUUAGAUACCCUGGUAGUCCACGCCGUAAACGAUGAGAACCUGACGUCGGUUUGCUCUGCGAAUCGGUGUCGUAGCUAACGCGAUAAGUUCUCCGCCUGGGGAGUACGGCCGCAAGGUUG